GUUAAAAUAGGUUUCACAUAACUAGACCAACUACUAGUCAAACAACCUAGUCCAGAUUGUCACCAAUUUAAUUCACUACAAAAUGCUAGAAAAAAAAAAUUCAAAGCUCCAAGUCAACAGCACUUUCUUCCCCAAAAAUAAAAAUUAUUACUUUCAUUGAUUUGAAAUGAAUGAUUAGGAAGAUAAUGCAUCUCGCAUCGGUUUAGCAAGGGAGGUCUUAGACCUUGUACGUAUAAGUUGGCAACUCUUCCCUUAAAAGCCAACUUUUAAAGUGAAGUUGAGCAAAUUCAUAGACCUUUUCUAGUCGGUAGGCCAUAAUCUUAAUUCUCUGUACAAAGAUGUACAGUUCAAAAGAGUUUGUAAUGAU
Molecule: unclassified non-coding RNA, 367 nt
Filed under: Hevea brasiliensis (rubber tree)
Lineage: Eukaryota; Viridiplantae; Streptophyta; Magnoliopsida; Malpighiales; Euphorbiaceae
Source: RNAcentral